RNAcentral lists this ribosomal RNA (1164 nucleotides) under Triticum aestivum (bread wheat). RNAcentral's name for it is "partial small subunit ribosomal RNA". The record is from RNAcentral. Lineage: Eukaryota; Viridiplantae; Streptophyta; Magnoliopsida; Poales; Poaceae.
AUGGAGGCUUGGCCUCAGGCAUUGUAUCGUGCAACCCGACAUCGUAUCGCACUCUUCUAUGAUGAGCCAGUAAUAAUAAAGGAGCUUGUUGUUGGACCCCGUUACAUUGAUGUGUUAAUUCGUCUCAAUCCUAAUAGCCCGCAGUGGAGAGGAACUUUUGUGUAUGGAGAACCGAAGGCUCACGAGAGGCACCACAUGUGGGAAUUACUGAGAAGAAUUUGCAACAAUUCUGCUGAACCUUGGUUAAUGAUAGGUGAUUUCAAUGAGACCAUGUGGCAAAGUGAGCAUUUUUCUAGGUCUAAUCGAUCAGAAGGCAACAUGGCAGAUUUGAGGAGGGUUUUAGCGGACUGCAACCUGCAUGAUAUGGGAUUCAAGGGAACGUCCUGGACUUAUGAUAAUAAACAGAAGGGGAGGUCUGACCACGUCCCCCUUCUCCUCCGUUUUGGAUCCAGGAAAGAGUGGCGCCCUAUUAAAACCAGUUUUAGAUAUGAACAGAUGUGGGAGCGAGCUGGAAGUUUGACAGAGGUAGUAACUAAUGCGUGGACAGAAGGAGGAUCAGGACCUUCACUUGACAAAAUUGCCAAAAAACUCAGAAGCAUGCAUGAAAGCAGAGAGGAAAUUCAUGAGGAGAUUAACGAUUUUUUCCAAAGUCUGUACAGAAGGGAUGACAAAGUAAUACCCCAUGAGUUAAUUGAUCUAUUUACGAGGAGAGUGGAUGAUAAUAUGAAUGAUGCUCUUAUCAAACCGAUAACGGAAGAGGAAAUCGGCGAUGCUCUUUUUCAGAUUGGGCCACUCAAGGCCCCUGGGCCGGAUGGUUUUCCCGCUCGCUUCUUCGCCACUCAAGGAAGCAAGAAACAACGAGACACCCACUGUGCCUACAAGCUUGAUUUGGCCAAGGCUUGUGAUAGGGUUGAUUGGAACUGUUUAGAGGGCGUCCUGCAGAAAGUGGGGUUCGAUCAGAAGUGGAUCAGAUGGGUGAUGAUAUGCGUUAGAUCUGUCACGUUUUCGGUUAAGUGUAAUGGGGUGCUGUUGAAGGCUUUCAAACCAUCCAGCGGCAUGAGACAGGGUGAUCCAUUAAGCCCCUACCUCUUCUUAUUUGUGGCGGAGGGUUUAUCUAUGUUACUUGGCAUAGAAAUAGAUAGAGGCACCAUUACUCCCCUAUAG